ACAGGUACGAACAGCAGGGUGAGGUCUGCCUAGCCCACAGAACGAAUGAUUCAGAGCGAUCUGAGACACGGUGAUUCAGCGAUAGGCUAACAAACUGUUGGAUGGAAGGCAUGGAUCACAAGCUCUGUUCACUCUUCUGACAUGAAUUCAGAAAACACUGAGGCAGGCUGGAAUCUGUGGCUGUUUCGCCCCGAAGGCGAGACAAGCGCCGACACACCUUUCCCAACUCCUCUGGAAUGUUGUUUUGGGGGGAAAGCGGCGAGGAAAAGGUUGUGAUUCUGCACAGUGUGGCAAAGUGACCAACGAAGGAGGGAGAGGAACAUGAGAACAUGGAAGUUAAUGUGACCGAGUGAAGCGAGGGUUUGGUGUGUGUGUGUGUGUGUGGGAGGGAAUGAGCCAAGAGCCUGCACAAUAAAUGGGCGUGGAAGUUUCACGCUGAGUUUCACUGCCGGCUCUGAGUUGUUCCUGUCAAACAGCAGCUUAAAGGGCUCUGGGCUUUCACAGGGACCGGUUGGCCUCCCAGCUGCUGUCUCUUGGUCUCCUGCGAUGAUGACAGCGGCAGCGUUUGGACUGACAUCUCACUGAAACUUUCUAAAGGAAGAAUCUGGCAACUUAAACUGGAAUUUUGUUUAGGGCACAAGAAGACAGGAUACCUGCUUAGCAGCUUGUCGCUCUGAAGAAGCCACCGAACAACCUGAGGAGAGGAUUCACAACAGGAACUUUUAAAUCGGACCAGGUAUGUCCAAUUCACCUGUGACACCGGAAACAAGGGCAGAGAAUGAAGAGGUCUGCCUGACUCUCAUUCCGGGGACCGGUGACACCCAGAACAACAAUAACAACUGCAGUACAGACAGGAGGACACAGAACGCCGCCUCCUGCCUCAGAGAUGAGCACCACAGGAAACUGGCCAUCUGCAGCAUCAUCUGCGGGAUCUCCUGCAUUGGGAUCAAAGCUCUGAUCAGCUCAGUCAAGGCCGAGAAGACAAUAGACCCCGAGAAAGCUGCCGAGUUCUCACACCAGGCGAAAAAGUAUGGAAUCAUCUCCAUCGUGACGUGGGUCACCAUUCUGGUUUUGACUCCCUUAUUGUUGGCGCUGAUCUCAUAUCUUCUCACACUGAAAGACUGAUCAGAACCUGCGCAGAAGAAAACAAGCAGGGGACUUUUCUGACUUUACGGAGACAAAUGGCAGACUGCCAAAAACUCAAGGCUGCUUAUCAGCUAUUAAGAACCAGGAGGGAACUGGUUACAAGGAACACACAGAGACAGCUUCCAGCUUUUCAUGUGCUGAUAAAUGGACAGAUCUCCCCGGGUCCACUUGCACACUUCCUCUUUAACCACCAUAUUUUUUUACAACAGGAACAAACACUCUAGAAUAUGGCGUUAAAAACCAUACUUUUGUAUGUCUUUUUUAAUACACUGUAAUAUUUAUUUAACAAUAUAUGAACACAAUUCAAAGUCUAAAUGGCCAUAUAAAAUCCAGCAUUAACUAUACUCUGAGACAUGGCACUACAUGACAUAUGUACAUUUAAAAUCAAUGUUUACAAAAGUCAUUCCCCAGCCAAGACCCAAUCCUUAAUAUUUUUGCACUGUAAAUGGUAUUACUCAUGUAUAGGUGCUGUAUAUACUUGCAGAUAUUACUACACGUCCAUACAUUACUCCAUCUGUCAGUCUGGAAAGCAGAAAUGUAAACCUGUUCAUUAAGGAUUGGGUCUCUACUCCAAUAAAACAGGAUGGCAGUGCUUCUUCAGAACAUUAUGAGAUCCUGCUCUUGUUGCCAGCGUCAACUUGGCAUUAUUGCAUUGUUACUGUGUUAAGCUUUAUUAACGUCAGAUGUAUCAGUAUGUGGUGCUUUUAUACAGACAUAUAAACAAUGAGACAAUUUCAUAAUAAAAACAAGUAAAAUUU
This is a long non-coding RNA of Scatophagus argus, 1904 nucleotides long. RefSeq lists it as uncharacterized. Lineage: Eukaryota; Metazoa; Chordata; Actinopteri; Scatophagidae. The record is from RefSeq and is a predicted model, not a curated record. The transcript is spliced from 3 exons.